Long non-coding RNA from Lagenorhynchus albirostris (white-beaked dolphin), 475 nucleotides. RefSeq lists it as uncharacterized. The transcript is spliced from 5 exons. The record is from RefSeq and is a predicted model, not a curated record. NCBI's taxonomy places the organism in Eukaryota, Metazoa, Chordata, Mammalia, Artiodactyla, Delphinidae.
AAAAUGGUGAAAGCUGGUGGACUCUGCAUCCUAAAAUUUGACAUUGAUUUCAGUCUUUAAGCCUAUGCAACAAGACUCUACAGUGAAAUCCUUUCAGUGUUUCAGCAGCUAGUAUUCUUUUUUGGGGAGUUUCUCAAGCAGAUGGAGUUUGGGGAUUCCUGUGAAAUUGUGAAAGCAACAGCACAGAGACUCAGCAGAGCAGAGCUAAGGGGGAAUAACAGAAAACCAGAAAAAAACAAGAUUUAGGAAAGACAUUCAUUCUUUGGAAUCAGACAACCUGGACUCAAGCCUUGAGGUCAGCUGAGAAAAUUCAGCAAACUCUUGCUCUUCCCUCAAGGCCAAAGCUAUCUCCACAAUCACCACCUUUCCAACUGUGCCAGGAGUUUCUCCCAAAAGAAACGAAGACUAAUUUUCACCAGGCCUUGCUAUGAGUUUAUAAAAUCUCAUUUCAACAACCCUAAAAACUAGGCAUGGU